UAGAUGGGUGAAUUGUUUAUUUUUUGGUAUUGCAUAUCAAGAAUUGAGAAUUUCAUUUUUAUGAAAAAUAGAAAUAAAAGGGUGAAGGAGAUAGAGUUUUUGUUGUUUUAAAAUGAAAGUUAUAUUCUUUAGUGUUGAUAUAUCGACUUUUAUGAUAUUUGUUUGAAGGGGCAGUAUUAGAAAAUUGUAGUUUAAAGUGAAAGUUUGAAAUUUUAUGAUUUAAAGUGUCAGUAGUUGUUUUAUAACGAUUUUUUAGGUUUUUGUUGUGAUUUUGAGGACUUUUAAAGUUUUUUAAAAGUUUAUAGUAAUUUUAUAAGUAGUUUUUUGAAGUAGAGUGAUUAUAAUGAAAGUUAUUGGAGAAAUAGAGUUCUGAUUAAAUGUUUGUUAAAAUCUUAGGUUUUUAUUUAAAAUUCGCCUCUGCUCCAUGAGAUUUUUAAAUAGCAGUCUUAGCGUGAGGACAUUAAGGUAGCAAAAUAAUUUGUAUUUUUAUUGAAUUCCAGUAUGAAUGGGGGUUUGGUCAGUACUUUUCUUUAUUGGUUAUGAAUUUAGAAUCUUCUUAAGAAAUAGAAGUUUUAUUUAGACAAAGAUAAGUCUUUGGAAAUUCUAUUAAUUUUUGAGAUUAAGUUUUCUAGGGUAGAAUUGUUUGUAAUUGUGCUUGCUAAAAUUAGAGUAAAGAAUUACUCCAGAGUUAACAGAAAAUCAUAUCUUAUCUAGAUCUUAUAGUAGGAUAAGUUUUACAUCGAUGUUGUAUUUUAUUAUUAAAAGGAGUAGAAGAUUUUUGAGUUGAGACUGUUCUUCUUGAUAUAAAUAAACGUGAUAUUAGUUUAGCCCAUCGUGAGAUAGGGCGGUUUAUCUUGCUAAUUAAUAGGUUUUAAUUUAAUUAGUACGAAAGGAAUAUUAUAUAGGUUUUAAACCUUUUUAAGUUAUAAUUAGCUUAU
RNAcentral lists this ribosomal RNA (938 nucleotides) under Gnathostoma doloresi. RNAcentral's name for it is "large subunit ribosomal RNA". The record is from RNAcentral. Lineage: Eukaryota; Metazoa; Nematoda; Chromadorea; Rhabditida; Gnathostomatidae.